GUGAGGAAUAUUGGACAAUGGGUGGAAGCCUGAUCCAGCCAUCCCGCGUGUAGGAUGACGGCCUUAUGGGUUGUAAACUACUUUUAUCUGGGGAUAAACCUACUUACGUGUAAGUAGCUGAAGGUACCAGAAGAAUAAGCACCGGCUAACUCCGUGCCAGCAGCCGCGGUAAUACGGAGGGUGCAAGCGUUAUCCGGAUUUAUUGGGUUUAAAGGGUCCGUAGGCGGAUUAAUCAGUCAGUGGUGAAAUCUCAUAGCUUAACUAUGAAACUGCCAUUGAUACUGUUAGUCUUGAGUGAUGUUGAAGUUGCUGGAAUGUGUAGUGUAGCGGUGAAAUGCUUAGAUAUUACGCAGAACACCAAUUGCGAAGGCAGGUGACUAAACAUUAACUGACGCUGAUGGACGAAAGCGUGGGGAGCGAACAGGAUUAGAAACCCCGGUAGUCC
RNAcentral lists this ribosomal RNA (445 nucleotides) under uncultured bacterium. RNAcentral's name for it is "bacterial SSU rRNA". It matches the Rfam family "Bacterial small subunit ribosomal RNA", at positions 354 to 796 of the family's 1533-position model. The record is from RNAcentral.